CGUGCCUAAGUUUCUCUGUGAAUCUAGCCCGAAGAGUUGUCUCUGGCUCCAUGCCAACUGAGUUUGAGUAGGUCAUGUCCUAUAAUUGUAAAGUUGAGAUCCUGAGACUUCACCUUUGAACACUCCUGAAAUUCCAUGGUAUAAUUGGGCAGGGAAUGGCUUUCCCAUCCCCAGAGAACUUUUGAGAUGUCUAAUAAAUAGAAAAAAAUUCCCACCCCAAACUGGAACACAACCCCCGUUUCAAUUUUCACAAAUUAAUCAUCCAAAAAAAUCUUGGAUUGAGUCCAUCAAAAUGUUUUUGUUUUUUAUUUUGACCUUCCUAAUCUGGUUUAGUACAAAUUAACUAGCAUGUAAAACAAUUUUAUUUCAUUUUGAAAAAGUCCAAACAGGGCACUUUGGCAAUUUCAGAAAAUGUUUCAACGCUUUCUUUCUUUUUUUUUUUUUUUUUUUCUCCAAAUUGGGAGAUUCAGUGAAACUGAUCUUAACAUCUAAACAGUUUCAGUUUAGAUUAAUCCACAGCAUUUUCUGACAGAGUUUUUAAUCAGAAAAUUCUGACAAGUUCUAUGCUCUGGUUCACAUCAUGAGAACUUCCACCUGAUCUUACUUUCCAUUGACACUGUUUGCAUCUGACAUGAAAUAUGCAAGAUUUAUCAUUUUAGCUUUCAGUGCUACAAGUGUAUCUUGUGUGUUCUAUUUUUAUCUUAAACUGAUAUAUACACAGUGGAUUGCUUUUAGUUUACUCUGCACAAUAGUGUGUCUUAAUUGAUUUAUUUAGCUUUUAAAGCACUGAAAUAUAUUUUUUCCCCAGACAUUGAGCAGUGUGUCUUAAUAUCUGGAUUACUAACUGUUUUUAUUUAUUUUUUUAUUUUUUUCUGGUAGAAUUUCCAGGUUAGCAUCUGGUAUCUAGUGAGUGUGAAGAAAGUGAAUUUGGCUAAUCUCUGAGAGACUUCAUGGCGGGGGAAGAGUCUAAGCAAAACAGGAACUCUUGUUGUUUUUGUUUUGCCAAAUAUUAAUUUACUUUGUUAGUGGAACUGAUACAUCAGAUGCUGAAACUCUUUCAUGGGUUGUAAUCAGGCCCUCUGAAUAAGUAACUUCCUUGGAUAAGGAGGUAAUCAUGCAUAGCUCUAACAAUUCUGAAAACAUAACUAGCUUUUUGGACUUCAGCAGAAAAUCUUUUGAAAUGGAGAUAAAAAAAACAACCCAAAUGCUUUCACACCUCUCCUUGCUAAAUUUCACUAGGGAGGCUUGCAAACUUUUCCCUAAAUGAUCAGAUGUGAAUAAUCUCCCACAGGAUUUAUUUUAUUUGCCCUCUGCUCUGCAAGGGUUGCAGGCCUUUUUAUAUUCCAUGGGCCCUGUCUCCUGCUUCACCUCUCUUCUGUUAUGUAAACAGAGAUCAGCCCAGGCAUUGAGAGAGUGACUGGAAUGGGAGGUGACAGCACCGCUGACAUUUACAGCAGAAUGACCUUUACUAGAAUUGUUUUUAAGAGUAGGACUCUAACGAGAAUAAUGACAGAGAGGGGACAGUUAUCUAGGCUGUGAUUCUUUUUUUUUUAAUUAUUAUUAUUAAAUGGCUGAAAACCAAUAUAGCCAUUUAGGUUGGUAAGUUAAACUCCCCCUCUUAAAGUGGGGAUGAAUGUCAUCCCACCUGUCUGAGCAUAUUGAUGCUCAUGGCAAUUUCUGUGUCCUGUGGUUUGUCAGUCUGUUUCUUUGUGACCAUGUGAGUAGCUCAAGACUGACUCCUCGCUCUGUGCGCUUGACAAGCGUCCCCACGUGAGCCAAACUGAGGUGAUAACUGGUUAAGGACUGGAUAGUUAACCAAGUAACAAGGUGAUCAGUUUGUCAGCUGAGGACAGGAAGAGGAAGGAGGAGAGAAAGGAAGGGCUAGAGAAGCCCAGGACCUCAGGGAGUGCGAUCUCCACCCCCUCCAUACCUCAGGAAAAGAUAAAAACCUAUGUUGUGGAGGGACAAGAAUUUGUACAGCACACUGUAAAUAAAUCACUUGGUGAUGAGCUUACCAUUGGUUCAGUAACCUCACACCUCUCUGACAAUUAUUGCAAAGCAUGGUGAUGAGUUUGUGGGAACUGGAACCGGAACCCCAUCACAUUCCUCUCAUAGAAAGGCCAGCAAAUUUUCUUUGAUGAUAAAGAGAUUGCGCUACAGUACAGUGUGUGAGGGUAUUCAUCAAGGUUUGAACCCAGGACAUUCUGCUCCAUAACACAACUCUCUGCUUGAGGUACAGGAGCAGCUCUCUGUGGACCAGCCCCUAAAGGGGACACAGCAGAACUUUUUGUCAGUGAGUAAUCUAACUAUUUUUGAGACCUCAGGGGAAUGCUGGGUAUCAGGAUUCCUAGAUUCUGCUGUUGGCUUUGGGAAGUGAGUAUCAUCUACUGAUUAGAGCUGGGGUUACAGAUAGCAUAGCCAAGCACUUAGAUUUGGCAAAUUAGACAUCUAGUAAUGAAAAACGCUAUAUGUAAAUAUGCUCUGUGAUUGGUGUAUAUGAUCUGUCCCUCUCCUCUCAUCCCACCUAUCCUGCCCCAUGCCAAAUAACCAUUAAGGAGACAGCAUUUAUAACAUACUUCAAACCUGGAAAAAUUCCAUAUCUGAACUGGCUGAUUGGAAUGGGUUACACAUUUCCUGAAUUGCAUCUAUUCCAUCCCUUGCUUUUCAUGCAUAGAUCCUUUAGGCUUCCUGCUCUUGUAGACCACUUGCAGAACUGAUCUCUAAUCCACAGGUUCAUGUCUCUUGGCACAUCUUAAUGGACAGAUUCUAAAAAUAUUUUCCUAUCUUAGAAUAGCUAAAAUGCUAUAUUAGAAAAUGGUAAAAAGGAAAUCUAUUAUUUACAGCUCAGCUAGAAUGAAUUAAUCACUUAGAAGGAUGAGUGUGUAAGCAACAUGACACUUGAUGCUGGCCCAUUAGCACGACAUCAGGAUGCUGCUAUUGACCUGAUUGUAAAAGGUUAGACACAUCAAAGUUGAGUUAUUUGAAAAUUUUGGCACAGAGAGGAGCAAUUCUAGACCUGGUGGAAAUUGGUACAACUGUGCUGACUGCAAUGGAAGUUUAACCCACAUACUCCAGAGCUGAAUUUGGCUCUGUGUUUUUAAAAUUCUGUAUCCCUGGUUUUUUUAAAUUAAACAAAAUGAACUUGUCUUUAAACGCUAUUGUAGGGAGAGAAAUGAGUCUGCAAUUUCACUGCCUCUGAUCCUAUAUUGCAAUAGCAAGUGAGUAACAACAUCAGUGCUCUUCAAAAGGGGUUAUAACUUUGCUCCCCAAAAAAGUAACAUGUGAAAUAGAGGGUAAGGUGGUUAGUACUGCUAAAAUAUUAGGUAAUGGAAGGUAUUUAUUUACUUAUUCUUUACAGUGAACAAUCUCUCCAGGGCUAGGCUUGUGGGUGGGCUGGGGACAGCUGAUCUUAGGAACUGUAUCUGACCAGCGCAGGCAGGGCUAUGAUCACCAGUAAGCUCCUGAGGCCUGAAUCUAGGCUGCCAUUUUGGAGAGGCACCUGUAUAUGUGGGGUGAGGAAUCUUGGUGAGGAGGGGAUGUCAGGUGACCAGUGGGUUGGCUAACAUGUUUGACAGCUGCAGCUAAGCCAGCACUGGGAGGAAAAUUGGAGCUGCAUGGUGGUGGAGCAGCAUGUCAGUGAGCAGGAGUAAAGUGGCAGGAAAGCAGGAAUGAUUGAUCAGAGAGGAACUGAAGAGCUGACUCCAUUACAAGAAAGGAUUAUUGCAAGGUAUGUUCACUGCUGUCCAAUGAUCUCUGGCCUGGUGGGGCUAAAUAGUUAAGAUCCAGAGGAAGUGGUGCACAGCAUCAUAAGGCCUGUGGUGGUUGCUUGCUGGUUUACUCUGGUCCUAGGUGUACUGAAU
Long non-coding RNA from Dermochelys coriacea (leatherback sea turtle), 3860 nucleotides. RefSeq lists it as uncharacterized. The record is from RefSeq and is a predicted model, not a curated record. NCBI's taxonomy places the organism in Eukaryota, Metazoa, Chordata, Testudines, Dermochelyidae. The transcript has 3 exons.